AAUUGAAGAGUUUGAUCAUGGCUCAGAUUGAACGCUGGCGGCAGGCCUAACACAUGCAAGUCGAGCGGUAGCACAGAGAGCUUGCUCUCGGGUGACGAGCGGCGGACGGGUGAGUAAUGUCUGGGAAACUGCCUGAUGGAGGGGGAUAACUACUGGAAACGGUAGCUAAUACCGCAUAACGUCGCAAGACCAAAGUGGGGGACCUUCGGGCCUCAUGCCAUCAGAUGUGCCCAGAUGGGAUUAGCUAGUAGGUGGGGUAACGGCUCACCUAGGCGACGAUCCCUAGCUGGUCUGAGAGGAUGACCAGCCACACUGGAACUGAGACACGGUCCAGACUCCUACGGGAGGCAGCAGUGGGGAAUAUUGCACAAUGGGCGCAAGCCUGAUGCAGCCAUGCCGCGUGUGUGAAGAAGGCCUUCGGGUUGUAAAGCACUUUCAGCGGGGAGGAAGGCGUUAAGGUUAAUAACCUCAUCGAUUGACGUUACCCGCAGAAGAAGCACCGGCUAACUCCGUGCCAGCAGCCGCGGUAAUACGGAGGGUGCAAGCGUUAAUCGGAAUUACUGGGCGUAAAGCGCACGCAGGCGGUCUGUCAAGUCGGAUGUGAAAUCCCCGGGCUCAACCUGGGAACUGCAUUCGAAACUGGCAGGCUAGAGUCUUGUAGAGGGGGGUAGAAUUCCAGGUGUAGCGGUGAAAUGCGUAGAGAUCUGGAGGAAUACCGGUGGCGAAGGCGGCCCCCUGGACAAAGACUGACGCUCAGGUGCGAAAGCGUGGGGAGCAAACAGGAUUAGAUACCCUGGUAGUCCACGCCGUAAACGAUGUCGAUUUGGAGGUUGUGCCCUUGAGGCGUGGCUUCCGGAGCUAACGCGUUAAAUCGACCGCCUGGGGAGUACGGCCGCAAGGUUAAAACUCAAAUGAAUUGACGGGGGCCCGCACAAGCGGUGGAGCAUGUGGUUUAAUUCGAUGCAACGCGAAGAACCUUACCUGGUCUUGACAUCCACAGAACUUUCCAGAGAUGGAUUGGUGCCUUCGGGAACUGUGAGACAGGUGCUGCAUGGCUGUCGUCAGCUCGUGUUGUGAAAUGUUGGGUUAAGUCCCGCAACGAGCGCAACCCUUAUCCUUUGUUGCCAGCGGUCCGGCCGGGAACUCAAAGGAGACUGCCAGUGAUAAACUGGAGGAAGGUGGGGAUGACGUCAAGUCAUCAUGGCCCUUACGACCAGGGCUACACACGUGCUACAAUGGCAUAUACAAAGAGAAGCGACCUCGCGAGAGCAAGCGGACCUCAUAAAGUAUGUCGUAGUCCGGAUUGGAGUCUGCAACUCGACUCCAUGAAGUCGGAAUCGCUAGUAAUCGUAGAUCAGAAUGCUACGGUGAAUACGUUCCCGGGCCUUGUACACACCGCCCGUCACACCAUGGGAGUGGGUUGCAAAAGAAGUAGGUAGCUUAACCUUCGGGAGGGCGCUUACCACUUUGUGAUUCAUGACUGGGGUGAAGUCGUAACAAGGUAACCGUAGGGGAACCUGCGGUUGGAUCACCUCCUUA
This 1539-nucleotide ribosomal RNA is filed under the name Klebsiella pneumoniae. RNAcentral's name for it is "bacterial SSU rRNA". It matches the Rfam family "Bacterial small subunit ribosomal RNA". The record is from RNAcentral. Lineage: Bacteria; Pseudomonadati; Pseudomonadota; Gammaproteobacteria; Enterobacterales; Enterobacteriaceae.